UCCUGGAAUGCUAAAUAGAUGAGGUAAAUGGUACAUAUCACUUACCUAAUUUGAAUUAGUAAAUGUGUUCCUUUAGAAGUCAUAAUACUUUCAUGAACAUCCUGUGGCAUUUCUAAUAUGUUCGUGUUAGUCCCGUACGUGUGAGUGUAUUUUUAAUCCUGUAAUAGAGGGCAAUUGAUGAAUUGUUAGCUGACCGUAGAAGUUUAAGUGCAUCUCCUUCGUCUUUUUCUCUCUUCUUUAUUGAUAAAUGAAUUCUUUUAUCAAUUCAAAAUUGAUCAUUGAUUUCCUUUUUUGGAUAAGCAAAAUUGAUUAUUGAUUACUCAUUUUUGCAUAUCAUAAUUUCAUAAAAGCACGAAUGCAUAAACAUAUAAAAAAAUUUAGAAUGACUCCCAACUUUUUAAAUGCAUGUUCCGUCCCCAUAUGGACACGGCAUAAGUGAGUGAUAAAAGCUUAUGAGAUG
RNAcentral lists this unclassified non-coding RNA (460 nucleotides) under Hevea brasiliensis (rubber tree). Lineage: Eukaryota; Viridiplantae; Streptophyta; Magnoliopsida; Malpighiales; Euphorbiaceae. The record is from RNAcentral.